Molecule: ribosomal RNA, 855 nt
Filed under: uncultured Gammaproteobacteria bacterium
Lineage: Bacteria; Pseudomonadati; Pseudomonadota; Gammaproteobacteria
Description: bacterial SSU rRNA
Rfam family: Bacterial small subunit ribosomal RNA
Source: RNAcentral
CGGUAGGCUUAACACAUGCAAGUCGUGCGAGAAAGUAUCUUCGGAUAUGAGUAGAGCGGCGGACGGGUGAGUAACGCGUAGGAAUCUACCUAGUAGAAGGGGAUAGCCCGGGGAAACUCGGAUUAAUACCGUAUACCUCCUUUGGGAGAAAGAAGGCCUCUCUUUGAAGCUUUCGCUAUUAGAUGAGCCUGCGUAAGAUUAGCUUGUUGGUGAGGUAAAGGCUCACCAAGGCGACGAUCUUUAGCGGGUCUGAGAGGACGAUCCGCCACAUUGGGACUGAGACACGGCCCAGACUCCUACGGGAGGCAGCAGUGGGGAAUAUUGGACAAUGGGCGCAAGCCUGAUCCAGCCAUACCGCGUGUGUGAAGAAGGCCCUAGGGUUGUAAAGCACUUUAAGUUGGGAAGAAAAGUUAUUGGUUAAUACCCAAUGACCGUGACAUUACCUUCAGAAUAAGGACCGGCUAAUUCCGUGCCAGCAGCCGCGGUAAUACGGAAGGUCCAAGCGUUAAUCGGAAUUACUGGGCGUAAAGCGCGCGUAGGUGGUUUAUUAAGUUGGAUGUGAAAUCCCCGGGCUCAACCUGGGAACUGCAUCCAAAACUGAUUCACUAGAGUACGAUAGAGGGAGGUAGAAUUCACAGUGUAGCGGUGGAAUGCGUAGAUAUUGUGAAGAAUACCAAUGGCGAAGGCAGCCUCCUGGAUCUGUACUGACACUGAGGUGCGAAAGCGUGGGUAGCGAACAGGAUUAGAUACCCUGGUAGUCCACGCCGUAAACGAUGUCAACUAGCUGUUGGAAAACUAUGUUUUUCAGUGGCGCAGCUAACGUAGUAAGUUGACCGCCUGGGGAGUACGGCCGCA